UUGAGGAUCAACCAAUCAGAAGACGAUCGCCGUCGGAAAGAUGCUUGUGGUUUGCAGAAUGGAAAGCACCUUGCUGCGGAAAAUAUUUUCACUUCUACGUGAAAAUCUAACAAGAAAAUUGACCUGUCAAAUACAAGAUACAGAGUGCCAGUCCCACUAUGAUGAAGUAUUAAAAGCUUUAAAAUGGUUGGAAAGCUUUAUUAUUUGAACAGGAAACAGAUAUGAAUGAAUGAAGAUUUGGAUCCCUCUUCAAUUCAUCUGAAAACCUGAUGAUUGAGCGUUCUUGCAAAAAAUGUACCUAAGGUGUCAGAUGGGCUAGUGCAUUCAUUUCCAUAAUCUGGACUCAGUGACUGUUCAAGGCUUUACUCAAUACCUGAGUGUACAUUUCCAGCUACUAUUUACAAUGAUUUAUGUGUAACCUAAAUUUAAUAUUGUUACACU
Molecule: long non-coding RNA, 441 nt
Organism: Mytilus californianus (California mussel)
Lineage: Eukaryota; Metazoa; Mollusca; Bivalvia; Mytilida; Mytilidae
Exons: 4
Source: RefSeq, a predicted model, not a curated record